AUGUAAAGGGACAAAAGCCUCACCACAGCUGCUUUCUGGGGGUGCUUCUCCCCACCCUCGCCAGGCGUGCCCCUCUGCCACCCCUCUUGGUGCUUCUGAAGCGUGCCCAGUGCUGCCUUAGCUCUCCUUACAGCAUGCUCCGUUUCCUAACCAACGGCUUGCAAAUAAGCUGUAACGAGGCUGAGGGAGCACGAUGCCAGCAGAGACAGCCGUCGGCCUGUCCCUGGAUGCGCACACCCUCUUAACUACCCUCUGUCAGCUGGGCUGCGAGGUGGGGCACGUGCAGGUUGCACUGUAAAUGGGACUUGGGCAAGCAUGCUUGUUUGACCUGAUGGAAAGAUUUAAAGAAAUCCAGAUGUCUUUGAUCCAGUCAUCCAUUGCUCACUGCUCACUUUGUUCGUCUCUCCACCGACUCGUCACGACACGAGCCGAGGAAAGGCUGCUCGGCCAGGCGGACCUCUAAAUGCUGGUGGUGUCCACAAGCAGCCAGGUAAUGGCCCAAAUGAUUCUGCAUUGGCAGCUGCCUACAGCACGCAGCUUUCUUCUGCACUGUUUUCCCCCAAGAAGCCACGAUAGCUCACUGUAAGUACUGCAUGGAGGUGUGCAUGGAAGGAGGAUGGGUCCCUCCGCAGGCUUCUGGCAGUGUCAGCGGGGCCAGGAGCUGGCAGCCGCAUCGGUCCCGCUGAGCGAGCAGGAGGUGGACGUCUCUGCCAAGCCCCGGACCCAUCAGGAGGCAGCGGGAUGCCUGCGGCCGGCAGACGGAGAUGAAAUCUCUUUUAAUGAGUGAACCACUAAGCUCUUCUGGACUCGGGGCUGUCGGCUUCCCGGAGACAGAAGCGGGCCUGGAAGGCCUUGGUGUAUGGGCUGAGCACUCUGACAAAUGUGUGUUUUGCCCCAGCAGAAUGGAUUUUAAAUGAAUCUACCAGCUAGAACUGCAAGCUUUGGAGAUUCAGCGAGCAUGUGAUGAGGUGGAAUAUAUUUGGGCCUCGGUAAAAUGUUAAAAAAGAGUUCUGCAAAAAUCAUUCAAAUUGCCUUGGCUCUAACAGAGGCUUACCAUUUUACAGGCUGCCCAAAGCACUACUAAUAAGGGAUAGCUGGUGGCCUAAUGCUGCUGGAGAGCACAGGCAGUGCUGUGAUGCGUGGUGUGAAAUGGUCAGCAAUAUUCCCAUGCAGGAGCUGGGUGAGAGAAUAGCUCUUAUCCAACUGCUGUCCCCGAAGUGCUGAACAGGGAGCAGUGGACUCCUGUGAGCUCAUAAAAAUGAUGUAGGGCUGGGAAUAACGUGGGGAAAUUUAAACCAAAUGCAGCAUGAUCCCAAAGCAUGGCAACUCACUGGACAGGCCUGGUGGCAGGAGCACUGGUUUAGGCUUGGCAGCAAGCAGUAACUGAUGCAGAAGUCUGCAGAGCUACAGACUCCCCCAAGAUAUUAUCCUUCACUUAUUUCCAUGGUAUCUGAGCACCGCAGAGAUUAUAUAAAUAGAUGCUUUCUGGAGAAACUCUUCUCUCUGCUAGGGUAUGUUAGGAAUGUUAGUUAUAAGCUUUUUUACUUCACAGUGGAUGGGUGGGCUACAUUGAGAAGACCAGGGCUUGUUUUUAGGCUCAGUUACAGCAAGAUCAUCCCAUUCCAGUGCAAGGCAAAAAGACUCCGUGUUUCCCAGGGAUAGCAGGAGCCAGCAGGGUAUUGCAAUGGGAUUCAGUGCCCCAGGCAGCACUGGCUGCAGAGGGUCAUGCAUUUGGGGCAGGAAGAGCUGCACAAGCCCUGUGCCUUGCACAGACCUAACUGGUGCCCGUGGAUCAUAACGCAGCCUCGAUGAUCUAUAGAUGAUAAACGAUGAGCAAUGGCAGAGUCGUCAGCUUGAUCCAUGCCCAGCACUGACUGUUCCUGUGAGUGCCAAGAAAGGAAAAAAACGACAAUUUCAUGCUGCCCUGGGACAUUCUGCUUGUGCUGGAUGAACACUGAAUUGCAGCUGACUGCAAAGGGAUGCUUAAACCUCGCAAGCUGCUGUUUGUAUGCAGCCUUCACUCUUGGUUUUGUUCCAGUGCUUACAUGAAAAUUUGCUUUUCAGAAUUGCCCAGGAAAUGGAAAUCACAGGAAAUUCAUACUGCAGAUGUAGCUCUUUUUUAAUUUUUUUUUUUUUUUUUCUUUUUGGUGAAGUAUGCCUCACAGCCCUAGGCUAGCUACUGCAAGGUGACACAAUCUCGGUCUGUUAGUGGUGAGGAUUCACUGAAGGUAUUCGGCUGCAGGGAGCUGUGGAAACAAGGACCAUGCCAGUCCACGCCUCCCAAGGAACACUUCACCGGGGUGCUCAGAGCCCUGCGUUCCCAGCUGGCUGAUCUCUUUCAUACACAGGCUGUAGAAGGAUGGCAAAUAGCGGUGCCUUCCCGGGGAGCAAGUAGACUUGCAGGAAAAUCCUUGCAUUGUACUCAUGCAAUUAAUGCUGCUUCCCAGGAAACUUCGUAAACCUUCCUUCACCUUGUUUGAAAAUUCAUGAAAAAUAAGUGUUUUUUUUUAAUUAUUUAUUUAUUAUUUAUUUUAUUUUUCUUUUCUUUCUCUCUUUCUCCUCUUUCUCUCUCUCUCUCUCUCUUUUUUUUUUUUUUUCCCUGGGAAAUAUUAGCAAUAUAGUAUUUUCCUCACUAGAGAUUUUUUUCUUGCAUAAUUUUCUUCUGUUUCUCCUCAUGUUUGUAAGACUUUUAUUCAGUUCUGGUAGGAGGAAGAGGAACAGAAAACCAGAUCUUUGGCAGUUUUAAUUCCAUGUGGAGCUGAAUGAAACACAGAGGUGCCAUAUCCCUGUGAGCUGAGGCUGGAGCACUGUGUGGCUGCACGUGCAGGGUAGGACAGCAGCACAAAGGUGAGAGUUAGCCUUCUGCCUUGCUGCCUGACCUGCUGUCUGACCGAGCACCUGCCUGCAGCUGAGCUUGGCUCUGCUACCCAGACUUUUGCUCAUAAACUCAAGUCUCUGCCAGAGUGCUCCCUCCAGACGGGCUGAUGUGACAUCACUGCUGAAUAAACAGAAACCAAUAUCGAGUGGAUUUGCUGGAGAGCGCAUUCAAGACCACAGCUAUUACACCAGAUAUCUGAGUCAAUCAAAAUAUCAGAGACCUCCCAUGAUUAAUAACCAUUGGGAUAUCUAAUCCAUGCUUUAAAGCAGUUACAGGCAGGCAAGGAAAGCAAGAGUUACUCCCCAAGAGUGAUACUUGCCUAUGAGAAAAGAAAGAAAACAAAACGAGGCAGCACACCAGCCUGGAAGCAAUGUGGAGCCCUGGUACAACUCAUGAUACCUGUCUGAAAUUAGAUGCAGUGCACCCCAAUGUGGGGCUGGUGGGGAUGCUUGUAUCUGCUUGGGCUGCCUGUGACCAUGGUGGUGCUGCUGUGACACCACCGGGGAGAAGACCCAAGGGGCUACACCAACAUUUCAGUGGUACUUACAUGAGCAGGAUGCGGCCAGUUGUUGUUUUAGUGCUUCUAGGCUUUCCUUAGGCAUGGGGGAAAAGUUAAUUGCCGUCUGAAAGAGGAAGCUGCAUUUUGUGGUUGAAAGAUUAUUUCCCAACCUCGCGGUUAGCAGAGGAGUCCCAAAGGGGCAACACAGGCCGGAGGAGAAGUGCACGGCAAGUGCAGAUGAAUAGGGGAAGUUGUGUUUGAUGAAUGCGUUCUGCUGCUGCUGGGGUGAUUAAAGGGUCUCUCUUCUCCUGCUUGCUUUGUGGAGCCAGAGAUGCUCCAACACGGUACAGAUGGGUGCUCUAGGGCCAAUGUGGAUGUCUGGGGAUACACCUGAGGUUCAGGCUCUGGGGCUAGUAUGUGCUGGAGCUGUACAAAGACAGGAGCUUCAAUGUACUGGUGGUGUCUGGGCAGCCCUGAGUGAGCCACCAUGCACACCAGGACUGCUGGCAGCUCUGGCAAGGAGCAGGACGGCUCUGGCCUUGCUCGGCUUGGGCUUGCCACAGGUGCCCUCAUGGCAUUGCCUCUGCCAGCACCAGGAGCUUGUUCCAGCCCAGGAGCGCCUGAGCACUUCAAGGCUUCUUGCUCUGGCGAAGCAGAAAAGAGUUAACUCCCCCUCAGUUCUCCUCCAGAAGAGAGAAGAUUGAAAUGUUUCAUACUGUUCUAUUUUUAAAUCGUUCAAGAAAUGUAUUGCUAACAGAAGAACAGCAUAACUGACGUUUCCCAGAAUCAGCUGGUGAAAGUGCACAGCGCAGCUCCUCUUGGGCAGCCCAGGCAAGGUAAAACGACUCAAAAUAGAUUGCAAAUAGAAAGAAAAAGCAGGAAACCAUUACAGAGCUCUGUAGGCAACACCCUGAAGUCCAUUUUAGCUGUUAGCCAUUGUACUUAAGGCAAUAGAGAGCAAUUAAGCAAGGAGACCACUGGAAGGUUUGUUUCCCCGUUGUAUCCCUGAAAUAGCUCCAGCUCAUUGCCAGUGCAAGGUAUCACACUGAUGGGGGCAGAGAUCAAAGGCAUCUGCCCAGCUGCCACAAAAAGCUCUGUAACGAGGGUCUGCAUUAACGUGAGAGGGCCUCCUGCCACUCCUGGGGGGUGGACUUUUGGGUGAUGCCGACCUCUCUCCACCAUGAGCAGGGCUGAGAGCCACCAACUCUCUUCACGGAGUCCAACAAUUGACUCUCCUAUUCCCCUAUGGAGGCAGCAUGCGGCAUUAAUUAAUGGACAUAAAACUUGCUUGGAAGCAGGCACGGGUAUGACAGCUCCUAAUAGCCGUACAUGAAGGGCUCUGAUAUGCCUGUGUAACCAGACAGCGACUGCUACGCUUCGGCAGCAGGCUUAGAACAUCUUUCUGAGGGCUUAUUAUUUCUGAGGGCUGCUAAGCGUAAAUUUUGCAGUGGUUCUCCAGACUAAUUUUCAUGUAGAAUAAAUUCAAGCGUGAAUGAAUGUGGGCUGUUGUGUGGCCUGCAUUAGCUGGGAGGUCAGGCGAGGAAAUUAGCCCAGUCUCUGGUGACCUUGUGACGUGGGAAGGAAAGCAGCCCCUUGUCCAGGCACACCAAGGAGCGAUGGAGCAGGCAGUGCUGAGGGCGUGCUGCCCACAGGUAGGUGCCGUGAGGAGCCUGUCACAAAACACCCUUCUUGGUGAAGUGGAUGGUGACAUUUCUACCCAGACCUCAAAUGCGGCUGCCCCGUUUCACCUGCCUCCAGCGCUGCUGAGGUGAGGGAUGGCUGAAGAAAGGGUCUCCCCUUUCUCUGUGGGCUGGCAGAAGAGCAAGCUGAUGGGUGUGUGAGCAACACGGGCACAUCUAGCGUGUGACUUGUGGGGCCUUCCACACUUACAAACUGUUGUCUGUAAAUAUUUGUGGUGACAGCUAGCAGCAGGCAGGUAAAAUGCACGGAGGUGGGGACAUUUCCAGUCACAAAGAAGCACUGCCAGCAGGUACCGGUGAUAGCAUAGAUGUGCCCUUGGCCAAAAUACAGCUGUUGGGAACUGCCUGGGGACCUGGCAUGGGUUACACAGCGAGCAGCUGCUGUGCAGAAAGCAGCAGGUACGUUUUGAUUCAGCCUUUCCCUGCAGGGCAGCUUUUAGGUAUAAGGAGUCUACCGACUACAGGACAAGUACCACAAGCUAGGUAGAGAUAGUUGUUGGAAGAUCACUAACACGCUUUAUUCUCUGGUAGAAACUUUGUGUUUGUCCCUUGAUAGGGAUCCAGAAGCCCACUGGUGACAUUUUUGGUCUAACGGUGAUAUUACUGUGUCUGCAGUACUCCUGCCAGAGGGCAUGAGAUUUGACGCUCCCUGUUCAGGAGACUUGUCUGUACAAAACCAAAUAUUUUUUUUUUGUGGUGAGGUCGUCUAAAGCAUCUGGCAGCCUUGUGCAGAACAACCGGGCCUAUCUUCUUGUCUGCUUCUGUCCUACACAGACCGUG
This is a non-coding RNA of Anas platyrhynchos (mallard), 5857 nucleotides long. NCBI's taxonomy places the organism in Eukaryota, Metazoa, Chordata, Aves, Anseriformes, Anatidae. The record is from RefSeq and is a predicted model, not a curated record.